Molecule: ribosomal RNA, 253 nt
Filed under: uncultured prokaryote
Description: partial 16S ribosomal RNA
Rfam family: Bacterial small subunit ribosomal RNA
Source: RNAcentral
ACGGAGGGUGCGAGCGUUGUCCGGAAUCACUGGGCGUAAAGGGCGCGUAGGCGGCAUGCCAAGCGUGUGGUGAAAGCCCGGGGCUCAACCCCGGGUCGGCCGUGCGGACUGGCGUGCUCGAGCACUGUAGGGGCGGGUGGAAUUCCGGGUGUAGCGGUGGAAUGCGUAGAUAUCUGGAGGAACACCGGUGGCGAAGGCGGCAUCCUGGACCGGCAUUGACGCUGAGGCGCGAAAGCUAGGGGAGCAAACGGGA